AUCCGCGGUGGGCCCAGCACCCGCGAGCAGCGGUCACCUCAGCGCAGCCCUGUAAGUAGGUCCCGCUUGCCGUGCAAGGGCCGACGGGCGCAUCCCUCGUAGGCCGCGAGCGGCGCGCAGGCCUUUCCCUUGCGGUACAGUCGAUCACAAGCACCAGUAUCUCCACAUGUGGCCGAAGAAAAGCUAGGGAAAGCUGUACCCAGAGUUAACAUGAAGUACAGACAACUCAGUUUAACACUGUGUUUCUGGAAUUAGUGGAGUACAAGCUGUUAAACUGAAUGCUGUGCUGACGGGAGGUGUGCUGUGUGCCUGUGUUUUCCGUGUGGGUUUUUGUCAUGGUUGUUUACCCAGUUGGUUAAAUAAUAUAAAUACAUGAUCAACUGUUCCAAACCUUUACUCAAUAAAACAUUCCCAUUACUUUCAGCGGGACAUUGCGUAACUGCUACACAAGGCCUAAACUGGGCAGUGAAGCCAUGGUCGCUAAAGAAAACAGCCCUGGAGCACAGUACCACAAAGACCUGCUGCAUUCUUCAUUCACCUCAGAGUUUACACAAGAAAAUCUCUGAAUCAAAAGGUGCCUGGCAAUGAAGUUUUUCAAAGAGGAUGAUCAACCCAUAGAGAUGUAAUGCAGAAGAAUGGCUGCUACGUGGGACUUUUGGUAAUGAGCAUGUUUGCUGCCAGCAUCUGCAUGAGAAAGUGACGUGUUGUUGUGGACCAAAUGGAACAUCUUACGGUAUUUUGUGUGUCUUUAAACCCUAUGUCAUGGAUUGUGAGGAUAUAGCAUCUUCCAUGCAAAAUUUGUGGCUGCAAAUAGAAGCCUACAAAUUUGGUUGAAGGGCAAAUAAAAAGUACUGUAUUUGAAAUUAAGUUUUAAUUUGGAUACAAUUACACAUCAGUACAAGUAAUUGUAGCAUUAUUGCUUCCACCUUCUUUCCAUUUAGCCAGAUUUCUAAUCAGUGCUUCCCAGGGUUGCAGCUGUACUAAUGGUACCGAGUACCAGUACUGGUUAAACAGUAACACUUCAAGAGAAACAGUAUUUUCACAGUAUGGAAAUAGGGGAUCUUCCUUGUAACUGAAAUACGUUAAAGGACAUUCCUCGUGAAAUGUACAAUGAUCUUUGUCACUGGGUGCUUUCCUCUAAAGUAUAACUUGUACAUCAAAGGGAAAAAGUACGUAUUUAUGUCCCUCAGGGGCACAGAGAAUGGGAGUCAUUGUGUUGAUAUUUUAAUACAAAUUGCUUCCUGCAUUUCUUAGUGGUAAAUAUAUGAAUAUUCAUGGAAUCAAGGCCAGAUGAUCAUCCAGUACACAGCAUAUAUGGGAGAAAAAUGGAGGAGAACGUUUUAAAGCUCCAGAAUCUCCAGUUUGUCUUUGCCUGGGGGUGGUAAGUUUGUUAUCACCCUCCCCUUCCUCCGGAAGAUGUCACAGUCGGGAUCUGAGGGUGGGAAGGGUUGAGCUGGAAGGGACGGGUGUGGGGCUGGAGAGCUUUCUGUGCAGCUUGCUGCUUUCCAAACCUGGGGGGCUGCCAAGCAGCAGCCUGUGAGGGGUGAAUGCUCCUUACACAGUGUGCCUUUCCUCAUGGCGCUCACUAUCUCCCUGGAGUGUUUCAGGUUCUCCAGGAUUUUAAGUACCCUUUCCCGCUCUCCUUGUGUUCUGUAAGUCCCCUUUGCUCCAAAAGAACGAUACGCCAGUAGCUGCC
Molecule: long non-coding RNA, 1696 nt
Filed under: Strigops habroptila (Kakapo)
Lineage: Eukaryota; Metazoa; Chordata; Aves; Psittaciformes; Psittacidae
Description: lncRNA (ENSSHBG00005020151.1)
Source: RNAcentral